AUUUAAGACCUGUUUCACUUUACCUGUAUCCAGGAGGCAGCCAGGCUGGGGCCGAGAUUGAUGUGCUGAACAUGAUUUAUUUAUCUGGAUUUGCUCUUGUGGUCUGGGUGUUACCUGGGUGUGGAAUUUAACCAAAUGACAAGAUGGGUUUGCGUGUGUUCCUGAGCUUGGGGAUUGUGUGUGUGUAAAAAGUGAGUUGGGGUUUGUGUACAUGGCAGGGGGUUGCUGUUAGGUGGCUUGUGUGUCUGUUUGUCACUGGGACCAACGUGUGGUUGUGUGUG
RNAcentral lists this long non-coding RNA (281 nucleotides) under Homo sapiens (human). Its description in RNAcentral is "HSALNT0238056". Lineage: Eukaryota; Metazoa; Chordata; Mammalia; Primates; Hominidae. The record is from RNAcentral.